GGGGCCUCAAUGGAAGUGAAAUGUGAUGGCAGAAGAAGACACCACAGGAGUUUUUGAGGCAUCGGUUAGGAAGUGAACAGCAGAACUGGCAGAGGCUGCUGGGCCUGUUGGGGUACCAGGAGUGACAGAGAAGACUGGCAGCUGCAGAGCAGGACAGACCAGAUUGGCCAGUACAACAGCAGAGGGCCAUGUUGGGCUUUGACUCAGGAAUCCUGGUGGAGGCAAUGAUGAGAGAGAAGAGAUGAAACACACUAGGUAAGCCAAGGUAGUUGUCAGGAUAGAAGGAGACAGGCAGGCCAGAUGGCUGUUAACCGUGUGGUGUGUCCCAACUUUCCAGCAUCAAUUUAACGGCCAAAUUAAAAUGUAAGUCAACUUAAGCCAAGGUCAAUUUUAAUCCUAUGCUUUGCUGGUGAUACAGAAUCAUUAACUGUAUCAAUAAUGCCCACAUUCAACUCAUUCUACAAUGGGGGCAAUUGUAAUUUUGGUCUGGAUAUGUUUAACAAAAUGGAAAGGAAGAAGGCAAAACCACGGAACUAUUUUUUUUUUUUCUUUAGACGGAGUCUUGCUCUAUCUGUCACCCAGGCUGGAGUACAGUGGUGCGAUCUUGGCUCACUGCAGCCUCCGCCUCCUGGGUUCAGGCAAUUCUACUGCCUCAGCCUCCCGAGCAGCUGGGAUUACAGGUGCGUGCCGCCACGCCCUGCUAAUUUUUGUAUUUUUAGUAGAGACGGGGUUUUACCAUGUUGGCCAGAUGGUCUUGAUCUCCUGACCUCAGGUGAUCCGCCCGCCUCAGCCUCCCAAAGUGCAGGAAUUACAGGCGUGAGCCACCGUUCCCAUCUGGAACUAUUUUUUUAAACUGAUGCACAUUAAUAAGAUUUAGAAAAUCUUGAGAUUUAAUGGACAGUGUUGAGAUUCAUAUAACUUUAUGUUGAGAAUUCUCUUUCCAGGAAUUAUUUAUUUCAAUUAGUCACAUUUUUAUCUUCUACUGAAGUGUAAACUUAAUUUAGUGUAAAUAACUACCAUUUGAAUACUAACAUAAUCUUUUUCUUUGUAUAAAAAAUACAAAAAGAUCAUUUAUGUGUGUGUACACAUACGUGUCAAGACUAAAAAUUAAGCACGGGGUAAAGUCUUUGGCAAAGGACAAAUAGUCGGCAAGUUCACAGAUUAGAAUUUAGAAUUCCAUCAUGAAGUUGACUAAAUUGUUAGUUUAAAGAAGACAGUGAGUGUCAGCACAUAAAAAGGUAAUCCUGUCUCAAUUGUAGCUACAGAUUGCAAGUCCUGUGUCAAUUCAAAUUUUUGCCAGCAGAUACUAAUGACUUCACUGAAAGCAGAUGUUUAGAAAUGAAAGUAUAAACACAACCCCAGUUGAUUAAUAUGCUUAUUGUAUUUCCUUGUUGUGAGUCUAGCGAAUAUUUGAUUAUCUUUAAGUUGAUCCAUAGUAUAUUCAACAGUCUCAUGAGAACAUAAUUUUUGUUGAUGAUUUGUCCAAAGUUUCUAUUAAUCCAUCCUAGCAGCAGAGCCAAGUGUUAGAGUUAUUGCUGCCUGAGUUAUAACAGCUGCCCUGGGAAUCUUGUCUGAACAACAAGUUAACUGCUGUUCCCAGUUAUAUCUGGUCUUUCCCACCCCCAAACAUACACAAAAGAUUUUUGUCAUUCUUGGCACUGGACAACAGAAGUGAUAAGACAUGCCAGCAGAACUCUAAAGGCAGAAUGUCCUUCCACCUGUUUUAUGCUGUAAGACAAACUUCCAAGUGCGAGGCAGUGUGGAGGGCUGUUUCCUUGAAUGGCAGCUGAAUGCACCGGCGGGAUCCUUGGCAGCAAUGCCCAGGCACUGAAGCCGGGCAUUCAGGAGAGCUAAAUGGAGAAAAGAAACUUGAGCAAACUGCUUCCUGGAACACUGAGAACCUGAAUGGGAAAUUAAGAAGAACCAGAUUCUUUCUAUUCUUCCACCAGCCAAGGUGAUGAGCACAAAAGGAUCCAUCUUAUACAGUGCUUGCCAGCUUCCAUAAUACUACUCACCACGAUGUUGAAAUCACCUGUUCCAGAACCAGUCCUGUCCUUUGACAAGAAGGAUUUAAUUAUCAGUAGUGGUGGGGACUGGCUGGAGAGAGGAAAAACACUUCAAGGACUCUGCCACCUUUCGUAGAUGGAGAGUGCAAAGUUUGUACCAUGGAACUCCUUCUCUAACAGUUACUCUGUGGCAGUGCCUAUUUCAAACCUCCCUUAACUUCUGAUUGUAUAGAUGUUUGUUUCAUUUGUUCAUCUGUUUGUUCACUUAGUCAGAGAUGUUUUAAGCCUUAAGAGAAAUAGUGGACUAGAAAAUGCCUUGGAAAAGUACAAAGUUCAAUCCAAGUAAACUGUUUUUAAACUAGGAACUUAUGAAGCCUAAAAUAUAAAAUGUAUGUACAUGGAUAUGCUCUGAAGUGAGGUAGAGGGGUAGAAAUCAACAUUGUGAUAUUGUACUAUAGUUUUGCAAGAUGUUACCAUUGGGGGAAAAUGUUUGAAGGGUAUACAGGAUAUCUCUGCCUUAUUUCUUACAACUGCAUGUGAAUCUACAGUUAUCUCAAAAUAAAAAUUUAAUUAACAAUUGAUUACAAUUAA
Long non-coding RNA from Pan troglodytes (chimpanzee), 2597 nucleotides. RefSeq lists it as uncharacterized. The record is from RefSeq and is a predicted model, not a curated record. The transcript has 2 exons. NCBI's taxonomy places the organism in Eukaryota, Metazoa, Chordata, Mammalia, Primates, Hominidae.